Molecule: ribosomal RNA, 525 nt
Filed under: Clostridioides difficile
Lineage: Bacteria; Bacillati; Bacillota; Clostridia; Peptostreptococcales; Peptostreptococcaceae
Description: bacterial SSU rRNA
Rfam family: Bacterial small subunit ribosomal RNA
Source: RNAcentral
UUUUAUUUGAGAGUUUGAUCCUGGCUCAGGAUGAACGCUGGCGGCGUGCCUAACACAUGCAAGUUGAGCGAUUUACUUCGGUAAAGAGCGGCGGACGGGUGAGUAACGCGUGGGUAACCUACCCUGUACACACGGAUAACAUACCGAAAGGUAUGCUAAUACGGGAUAAUAUAUUUGAGAGGCAUCUCUUGAAUAUCAAAGGUGAGCCAGUACAGGAUGGACCCGCGUCUGAUUAGCUAGUUGGUAAGGUAACGGCUUACCAAGGCGACGAUCAGUAGCCGACCUGAGAGGGUGAUCGGCCACAUUGGAACUGAGACACGGUCCAAACUCCUACGGGAGGCAGCAGUGGGGAAUAUUGCACAAUGGGCGAAAGCCUGAUGCAGCAACGCCGCGUGAGUGAUGCAGGCCUUCGGGUCGUAAAACUCUGUCCUCAAGGAAGAUAAUGACGGUACUUGAGGAGGAAGCCCCGGCUAACUACGUGCCAGCAGCCGCGGUAAUACGUAGGGGGCUAGCGUUAUCCGGAUU